This is a long non-coding RNA of Lytechinus variegatus (green sea urchin), 505 nucleotides long. RefSeq lists it as uncharacterized. NCBI's taxonomy places the organism in Eukaryota, Metazoa, Echinodermata, Echinoidea, Temnopleuroida, Toxopneustidae. The record is from RefSeq and is a predicted model, not a curated record. The transcript is spliced from 3 exons.
GGUAUAGUGUUAGGGGAUUAGGAGUAAUUAAGCAGAUAAUAGACAACGUCACACGAUCACCGGACCGGCGGGAAUAUUUGCACCCAUCACCAAUGCAGUACACAAUACACUACACAUACCGGUACUCUAGCUACAUACUCACGCCACUCAAGCAGAUCACUCCAUACUCAAACCCCCGCACAGCACAGACGUGUCGUGACCGAGCGAGAGGGUUCAAUAUACAAGUGAAUAAGGUACACAGAUAAGCGUAGUGAGCUUAUUUAAAUUAUAUCAAGGCAGAGACAAGUACACAAUACACUACACAUACCGGUACUCUAGCUACAUACUCACGCCACUCAAGCAGAUCACUCCAUACUCAAACCCCCGCACAGCACAGACGUGUCGUGACCGAGCGAGAGGGUUCAAUAUACAAGUGAAUAAGGUAAGACUUUUUCCAUGUGUGAAGUGUACUUGAGCUAGUGAGUGUGUAUGACUGUAAGUGUUUCGGCCCCUCCACAAUAGUGGU